AGCAGUAGCCACGGUAAUACGUAGGUGGCAAGCGUUGUCCGGAAUUAUUGGGCGUAAAGGGCUCGCAGGCGGUUUCUUAAGUCUGAUGUGAAAGCCCCCGGCCCAACCGGGGAGGGUCAUUGGAAACUGGGAAACUUGAGUGCAGAAGAGGGGAGUGAAAUUCCACGUGUAGCGGUGAAAUACGUAGAGAUGUGGAGGAACACCAGUGGCGAAGGCGACUCUCUGGUCUGUAACUGACGCUGAGGAGCGAAAGCGUGGGGAGCGAACAGGAUUAGAUACCCGAGUAGUCCCUGUCUCUUAUAC
RNAcentral lists this ribosomal RNA (303 nucleotides) under uncultured bacterium. Its description in RNAcentral is "partial 16S ribosomal RNA". It matches the Rfam family "Bacterial small subunit ribosomal RNA", at positions 507 to 807 of the family's 1533-position model. The record is from RNAcentral.